ACUUACCCGAGUACUACGAACAAUUAAAGUUUAAAACUCAAAGGGCUUGGCGGUGCCUUAAACUUCUUAGGGGAACCUGUCUCAUAAUCGAUAGUCCACGUUAGACCUUUCCUUUUUUUGUUAAAAUCAGUAUGUAUACCGUCGUCGUCAGGUAACUUUUAAUAAAUAUAAAAGUUAGCGCUUAUAGAUCACAUAAUCUUAAACGUCAGAUCAAGGUGCAGCUUAUAAAAUGGGGAGGAUGGGUUACAAUUAUAAUUCCUAAUUACGAAUAUAAAUUUGAAAUAAUUUAGUGAAGGAGGACUUAAUAGUAAGAAAUUUAUAUAAAAUUUCUGAAAAAAGCUCUAAGGCGUGCACACAUCGCCCGUCACCCUCG
This 373-nucleotide ribosomal RNA is filed under the name Cremnoconchus agumbensis. Its description in RNAcentral is "partial small subunit ribosomal RNA". It matches the Rfam family "Microsporidia small subunit ribosomal RNA", at positions 752 to 1207 of the family's 1311-position model. The record is from RNAcentral. Lineage: Eukaryota; Metazoa; Mollusca; Gastropoda; Littorinimorpha; Littorinidae.